UCCUACGGGGCGCAGCAGUAAGGAAUCUUGCACAAUGGGGGAAACCCUGAUGCAGCGACGCCGCGUGAGCGAUGAAGCCCUUCGGGGUGUAAAGCUCUUUCGACGGGAACGAUUAUGACGGUACCCGGAGAAGAAGCUGCGGCUAACUACGUGCCAGCAGCCGCGGUAAUACGUAGGAAGCAAACGUUGUUCGGAAUUACUGGGCGUAAAGAGUGUGUAGGCGGUCUUGUAAGUUUGGUGUGAAAUCUCCCGGCUUAACUGGGAGGGUGCGCCGAAAACUGCAAGGCUUGAGUACUGGAGAGGAUAGCGGAAUUCCUGGUGUAGCGGUGAAAUGCGUAGAUAUCAGGAGGAACACCGGCGGUGUAGACGGCUGUCUGGACAGUAACUGACGCUGAGACACGAAAGCGUGGGGAGCAAACAGGAUUAGAUACCCUCGU
This 437-nucleotide ribosomal RNA is filed under the name uncultured bacterium. RNAcentral describes it as "bacterial SSU rRNA". It matches the Rfam family "Bacterial small subunit ribosomal RNA", at positions 337 to 791 of the family's 1533-position model. The record is from RNAcentral.